GAUUUUUUAAAAAAGUGUCUUGAAAACACUUAAAAGAGACUAAAUUCUCUAAAAAUCU
RNAcentral lists this transfer RNA (58 nucleotides) under Scolopendra dehaani. RNAcentral describes it as "tRNA-Ser". The record is from RNAcentral. Lineage: Eukaryota; Metazoa; Arthropoda; Chilopoda; Scolopendromorpha; Scolopendridae.